Molecule: small RNA, 839 nt
Filed under: uncultured Neurospora
Lineage: Eukaryota; Fungi; Ascomycota; Sordariomycetes; Sordariales; Sordariaceae
Description: eukaryotic LSU rRNA
Rfam family: Eukaryotic large subunit ribosomal RNA (bases 565-839)
Source: RNAcentral
CUUGGUCAUUUAGAGGAAGUAAAAGUCGUAACAAGGUCUCCGUUGGUGAACCAGCGGAGGGAUCAUUACAGAGUUGCAAAACUCCCACAAACCAUCGCGAAUCUUACCCGUACGGUUGCCUCGGCGCUGGCGGUCCGGAAGGCCCUCGGGCCCCCGGAUCCUCGGGUCUCCCGCUCGCGGGAGGCUGCCCGCCGGAGUGCCGAAACCAAACUCUUGAUAUUUUAUGUUUCUCUGAGUAAACUUUUAAAUAAGUCAAAACUUUCAACAACGGAUCUCUUGGUUCUGGCAUCGAUGAAGAACGCAGCGAAAUGCGAUAAGUAAUGUGAAUUGCAGAAUUCAGUGAAUCAUCGAAUCUUUGAACGCACAUUGCGCUCGCCAGUAUUCUGGCGAGCAUGCCUGUUCGAGCGUCAUUUCAACCAUCAAGCUCUGCUUGCGUUGGGGAUCCGCGUCUGACGCGGUCCCUCAAAAACAGUGGCGGGCUCGCUAGUCACACCGAGCGUAGUAACUCUACAUCGCUAUGGUCGUGCGGCGGGUUCUUGCCGUAAAACCCCCAAUUUCUAAGGUUGACCUCGGAUCAGGUAGGAAUACCCGCUGAACUUAAGCAUAUCAAUAAGCGGAGGAAAAGAAACCAACAGGGAUUGCCCUAGUAACGGCGAGUGAAGCGGCAACAGCUCAAAUUUGAAAUCUGGCUUCGGCCCGAGUUGUAAUUUGUAGAGGAAACUUUUGGUGAGGCACCUUCUGAGUCCCUUGGAACAGGGCGCCAUAGAGGGUGAGAGCCCCGUAUAGUCGGAUGCCGAUCCAAUGUAAAGUUCCUUCGACGAGUCGAGUUGUUUGGGAAU